ACCUCAUGUUAUUGAUGAGGCUACUAUGGUUAUGCUGCUGCUGGAAUAUAGCUUUUAGAUCCUUCCACCAAGGAGAGCAGUCUGCACUGUUUCUUCCUGAACAUAAAGCAUUCCACCCACCAUAUUUAGACAUCAAAACUCUAGCCCAAAGCUGAUUCUAGUUAUUAGCCAGGUCCCAUCCCCAUUUACCAAUCAAGGCCUCAUUAAACUUGGGUAAAUCUUUGAUCCCCAGCCCUCCUUUAUUCUUGGGAAGACAAACAAUAUCCCAACUUACC
RNAcentral lists this unclassified non-coding RNA (275 nucleotides) under uncultured bacterium. Its description in RNAcentral is "contains 16S-23S intergenic spacer region". The record is from RNAcentral.